RNAcentral lists this ribosomal RNA (253 nucleotides) under uncultured bacterium. RNAcentral describes it as "partial 16S ribosomal RNA". It matches the Rfam family "Bacterial small subunit ribosomal RNA", at positions 524 to 776 of the family's 1533-position model. The record is from RNAcentral.
UACGAAGGGGGCUAGCGUUGUUCGGAAUUACUGGGCGUAAAGCGCGCGCAGGCGGUUCUUCAAGUCAGUGGUGAAAGCCCGGAGCUCAACUCCGGAACUGCCAUUGAAACUGUGGAACUUGAGGAUGAGAGAGGUGAGUGGAAUUCCCAGUGUAGAGGUGAAAUGCGUAGAUAUCGGGAGGAACACCAGUGGCGAAGGCGGUUGCCUGGAGCUUUGCUGACGCUGAGGCGCGAAAGCGUGGGGAGCGAUCCGG